AACGAACGCUGGCGGCGCGUUUUAAGCAUGCAAGUCGAACGGCAAGUUGGGUAGCAAUACCUGACCUAGAGUGGCGAACGGGUGAGUACGACGUAGGUGAUCUACCCCUGGGUGGGGGAUAGUCCGUGGAAACACGGGGUAAUACCGCAUGAGGCCUUGUGGGUGAAGCCAUGAGGUGAAAGGUGCAAUUGCACCGUCUGGGGAUGAGCCUGCGGCCCAUUAGGCAGUUGGCGGGGUAACGGCCCACCAAACCGACGAUGGGUAGCCGGCCUGAGAGGGUGUACGGCCACACUGGAACUGAGACACGGUCCAGACUCCUACGGGAGGCAG
RNAcentral lists this ribosomal RNA (330 nucleotides) under uncultured Spirochaetota bacterium. Its description in RNAcentral is "bacterial SSU rRNA". It matches the Rfam family "Bacterial small subunit ribosomal RNA", at positions 29 to 351 of the family's 1533-position model. The record is from RNAcentral. Lineage: Bacteria; Pseudomonadati; Spirochaetota.